This is a long non-coding RNA of Homo sapiens (human), 1306 nucleotides long. RefSeq lists it as uncharacterized. The record is from RefSeq and is a predicted model, not a curated record. The transcript has 3 exons. NCBI's taxonomy places the organism in Eukaryota, Metazoa, Chordata, Mammalia, Primates, Hominidae.
ACCGCUAGGCAGGACCUGGUGGGGAGGAGCAUUGCUUGGAAGAGACAGGGCCGCAGAAAGUAGAAACGGUCCAGAUGAGACUGCAUGGGGCGGGAACUAGAGAUGGAGGACUUUCCCGCGCAAGGGGGACAGGCUGGACUGAAAGAGGACACGGGAAGAACAAAGACUUAGACUCGAAGCCCUCGGAUGGUGGCCCUUGCAUGCUUCAGUUCAUGAUGUUGGAGACUAUUUCCCCACCCUUGCGGAAAAACCUUCUCUCUGUGCCAUGCAGCUACUGCCAGGGAUGGAGGAUGGCGGGAAUUGGCAACUAAAGACUGUCCUCCUACCCUCUUCAGUGUGUCCUUCAGCAAUAUGAAGUUAAAACCAGGUAUUGUAAAUGCUUACCUGAUUUUUAGUUCGUAUGAAGGUGCUUUUUUCCUGUAGAUUGUUGUUAAAUGCGGUAUUCCUGAAGAUGAAAUGAUUGGUGGAAACUUAUAUUUGGCCAUCUUGCUCCAGCCCCUCUCUAGACAUUCUCUUACUGUUUUAUUUGGAAAAUACUGAAACAGACAUACACACACACAAAUAAAAAUCACCCAUAGCCCCAUCAUCUCUAAAAUGUAUAAAAAUAAUUUGCACUGUCUCUCUGUUCGCCAGUCCCUCUUCUCCCAGAUUAAGCUUCUCAAUUUUUAACAAGCAUAAGAAAUCUAGUUAAAAUGCAGAUUCCUGGGCACCACCCUCAGCUAUUCUAGUUUGGGAGGCCUAGGAUGAGACCCAAGAAUCUGCAUUUUUAAACAAAUUCACUGAUCGGCUGGGCGCAGUGGCUCACACCUGUAAUCCCAGCACUUUGGGAGGCCAAGGCAGGCGGAUCAUGAGAUCAGGAGUUCAAGACCAGCCUGGCCAACUUAGUGAAACCCCAUCUCUACUAAAAAUACAAAAAAUUACCCAGGUGUGGUAGCGGGCACCUGUAAUCCCAGCUACUCAGGAGGAUGAGGCAGGAGAAUUGCGUGAACCCGGGAGGAGGAAGUUGCAGUGAGCCGAGAUCUCGCGACUGCACUCCAGUCCGGGCGACAGUGUGAGACUCUGUCUCAAAAUAAAUAAAUAAAUAAAUAAAUAAAUAAAUAAAUAAAUAAAUACAAUAAAAUACAAUAAAAAAUUUUCACUGAUCAUGGAGCCACAAAGAUGUCUGAGAAACCCUAUUCAAGCUCUUUGGCUUUCUAGGAUAGAUUUGCAUGUCAAUAUCAGCAUGCACAUUUUUUUUUGUUUUUUGUUUUUGGUAUUUGCUUGUUUGUUUUAGUAAAUAAAAGCUGCUGUAAUUAUUGAUCUGCAA